AAAAUUUAAAUUUAAAAUACUAAAAUAGUAAAUAAUUAUUUAUUGAAACUUAAAUAAUUUGGCGGUAUUUUAGUUCAUUUAGAGGAAUCUGUUUAAUAAUUGAUAUUCCACGAACAAAUUUACUUAACUUAUAAUUUUGUAUAUCGUUGUUAAAAAAAUAUUUUUUAAUAAAUUUAAUAUUUUAGAAUUAUAAUAUAAAUUUAAAUCAGAUCAAGAUGCAGAUUAUAGUUAAGAAUAUAAUGGAUUACAAUAAAUUUAUUUAAAUGAAUAUUAAUUUGUAAAAAUUAGUUGAAAGUGGAUUUAAAUGUAAUUUUAUUUAAUUUAAUAAAAUGAUUAAAAAUUAAAAUAUGU
RNAcentral lists this ribosomal RNA (351 nucleotides) under Chortodes extremus. RNAcentral's name for it is "partial 12S small subunit ribosomal RNA". The record is from RNAcentral. Lineage: Eukaryota; Metazoa; Arthropoda; Insecta; Lepidoptera; Noctuidae.